AUAAAUAUUGAACGAGAAAAUCUUCGAUCAUGACAAACACGAAUUGCCAUGAUUAGUUUAAGAAUUACAGUAUGUACCCAAGUGUUGCGUUAGUUCAUUUGGUGCAGUGGUUUCGUCAGUACUCAGUAGUAAUAGACGAAGGAUAAUAGAAGUAAGUGAUAUUGCUGAAUUUGGAUUUGGUUUUUUGAGCAAUGGUUUUUGCUGGUGUUUGCUUUGCACCCUUAAAUCCCCUCCUCUUAUCACCACGAAGACCAAAACCAUCAACCUCCAACUCUUUUUCUUCUCGCAAUCCCAAAAAAAUUACCAACAUAAAUAAAAGCCCUAACAAUCAAAUCCCAUCAAUUAAUUGUUUGAGCAAGAGAAAGCUCAACCUCUCCAUUGUUGCCCUAAUCUUAUCUGUCCAUUUACCCGCCAUUUCUAAAGCCACUUCUGAAGAGUUAAAGCUUCAACGAUACAUAGAUUCCAAUGUGGGUUUCACUCUCCUCAUACCAUCGUCUUGGAUUAAGGUUGAUAAAGCAGGGGCGACCGUUCUGUUCGAGGAGGCAAACAAGGGGGCUAACAAUGUAGGGGUUGUGGUCAACCCAGUUCGUCUUACAAACCUCGGAGAAUUCGGUACUCCUAGAUUUGUUGCGGACAAGCUUAUUGAGGCUGAAAAGCGCAAGGAAAGUACAAAGGAUGCUGAGGUGAUUGCAUUUACUGAGAGAUCAGGCCAGGGAGGCCUACAAGUGUACGAGUUUGAGUACAAAGUUGAUAGCACCAGAGGAGGAAUGAAGAGAAUUUUUUCGGCUGCAUUUGUGUCUUCUAAGAAGCUCUACCUCCUAAAUAUCACUCACUCUGACAAACCAGAGUCUCCUCUUGACACCGAUAAAAGAAUGAUGUUGGAAAAAGUUCUUCAUUCUUUUGAUGCUGCACCUUUAACAUGAGAAACGUCAAGGUAAAAACUUUUAUUGGACGAUUUCAUGUUAGAUCCACUCAAUGCUCAAAGCCACAGGUGGCAACGCUCGAGCACUAUAUAUGAUCUUCAUGGAGUCUGAAUGGUAAAGAAUUAUCCUACAAUCGUUUUCUCAAGAUUAAGGGUAUUGAUACGAGGAUACCAUAUCUCUUCAGCAUUACAGUCUUUAUCUCUCUUCAACAUUCAUAUUUUUUUAUCAGUAGGGAAAUGGUAAUUACCCAAAUAAGGUAGAAAAGUCGAUUUAUUUACUGAUUUUAAUCCAAUUUAAAAUAAUUCAAAAGUGUCCAUUUGGUGGGCUCCUCUUUGAUGUUUGUAAUUGUAUUGGUGAUGCACAUUAUAGUUAUUAGUCUCCUGUGGAUGCAAUUGACUGGGAUCUUAUCUAUUGAUGUGUAAUGAUUGUGGCAUU
Molecule: RNA transcript, 1358 nt
Organism: Cornus florida
Lineage: Eukaryota; Viridiplantae; Streptophyta; Magnoliopsida; Cornales; Cornaceae
Gene name: psbP domain-containing protein 2, chloroplastic-like
Exons: 4
Source: RefSeq, a predicted model, not a curated record